RNAcentral lists this ribosomal RNA (390 nucleotides) under uncultured sebacinaceous ectomycorrhiza ERF1. Its description in RNAcentral is "eukaryotic LSU rRNA". It matches the Rfam family "Eukaryotic large subunit ribosomal RNA", at positions 38 to 423 of the family's 3401-position model. The record is from RNAcentral. Lineage: Eukaryota; Fungi; Basidiomycota; Agaricomycetes; Sebacinales; Sebacinaceae.
GCAUAUCAAUAAGCGGAGGAAAAGAAACUAACAAGGAUUCCCCUAGUAACGGCGAGUGAAGAGGGAAGAGCUCAAAUUUUGAAUCUGACAUCUUUGGUGUCCGAGUUGUAAUCUAGAGAAGUGUUUUCCGUGGCGGACCGUGCACAAGUCUCCUGGAAUGGAGCGUCAUAGAGGGUGAGAAUCCCGUAUAUGGCACGGACUCCCGUUGCUCUGUGAUACACUCUCAACGAGUCGAGUUGUUUGGGAAUGCAGCUCUAAUUGGGUGGUAAAUGCCAUCUAAAGCUAAAUAUUGGCGAGAGACCGAUAGCGAACAAGUACCGUGAGGGAAAGAUGAAAAGCACUUUGGAAAGAGAGUGAAACAGUACGUGAAAUUGUUGAAAGGGAAACGCU